GGCUGGAUAGCUCAGUUGGUAGAGCAGAGGACUGAAAAUCCUUGUGUCGGUGGUUCAAUUCCGCCUCCAGCCAC
RNAcentral lists this transfer RNA (74 nucleotides) under Candidatus Portiera aleyrodidarum (primary endosymbiont of Bemisia tabaci). RNAcentral describes it as "tRNA-Phe(gaa)". It matches the Rfam family "tRNA". From Rfam's summary of the family: Transfer RNA (tRNA) molecules are approximately 80 nucleotides in length. Their secondary structure includes four short double-helical elements and three loops (D, anti-codon, and T loops). Lineage: Bacteria; Pseudomonadati; Pseudomonadota; Gammaproteobacteria; Johnevansiales (SeqCode); Johnevansiaceae (SeqCode). The record is from RNAcentral.